Penaeus indicus is the source of this 657-nucleotide long non-coding RNA. RefSeq lists it as uncharacterized. The transcript has 5 exons. NCBI's taxonomy places the organism in Eukaryota, Metazoa, Arthropoda, Malacostraca, Decapoda, Penaeidae. The record is from RefSeq and is a predicted model, not a curated record.
ACAAAGGUUUCCUCCUCAACUUCACCAGUCUUUGAAGUCGAUUUGAGAAGUCAGAAAGCACUCGAGAGGAGCUCACGAAAACCCUACUUUAAUCAGUCAGAGAGAGAAGGCGAGAAUCCCAAACAGCGAUGAAUAAGGGAAUACUGCUACUGUUGUUCAUUGCCGUGUUUAUGGUCCUGUCCCCUGUUAGCGCUCUCGUCAUCACCAAGAAGAGAAACUUUCCUGGCGAGAGACGCUUAGGAAUUACAAAUUAUGGCCAGCAUGAAUUUGGUGCAAAUGGUUUCCGUAGAAGAGCUCAUUACAGACGGGGGUAAUGAGACAAUCCGCCUGUUCAAAAUAUUAAGAUGACGUUGACAGACCCUCCCAAGUAGCCUGAGUCAUGACACCGAAACUUAUUGUUGAAAUUACAUUGUCUCAGAGAAGAGACGAUGACUUAGAUCGUGAAUAGAAUGCAGACUGUGAUUUUUAUUUUGGCUUAUUUGAUUUUUCAGUUAUGUUAUUUUAACUGGCUUUAUGUUUUAUCUUUAAGUGAAUAAGUGUUAUUAAAACCUAGUCUUAAUGUGUGCUUGUAUGUUUGUUCUAUUUGAAUGUAACAUUUUUUUUCUUUUAUUGAAGUUAUUAUAGAAUUUAUAUUUCUAUAUAAAAACUACGAUAAAG